Amborella trichopoda is the source of this 540-nucleotide long non-coding RNA. RefSeq lists it as uncharacterized. Lineage: Eukaryota; Viridiplantae; Streptophyta; Magnoliopsida; Amborellales; Amborellaceae. The record is from RefSeq and is a predicted model, not a curated record.
GUGUGAAGUAUUUUCGCCUGUACUGUGUAUUGACUGCGUUUGAUCAAAAAAAAAAAGGGGAAGCUUUCACCCCUCAAAAACCAUAGUCUCCCUUGCUGCCAACAAAACCCCCCAAAUAAAAACCCAGCCACUGAGCUCUUUCAGAGAAGAGAGGGGAACCACGCCAGUUGCUGAGCUCUUUGUGACUUCCGCUCAAUCUAACACCCAGUCUCUGCUGCAUCUCCAACAAAAGCUAUCUCUCACCUGGACUGCUCUGUUUUCCCAAAUUAGUUGAACCCUAAGCAACUGCUCACCAGUAAGCGGCAAAGAAAAUCACAGUUAGGGUUUUAAUUUUCAUUGUUGAUGCCAAAAACAUCUGCAAGGACUGCCUAUGUCAAUGGGCCCAUUGAUUCUUCUAACAAUCUUGUUGAUAAGCCACCUGAUCCUUGUGCUUCUGUAAAAAAAUAAAAAUAUAAAAUAUGGGUGUUGGCAGUUUGUAGAAUGUUAAUGACUUGGUUGAGCGUUCUAUUAAAACUAGUGAUAGGCCUGUUGAUCCUGCUU